This 515-nucleotide ribosomal RNA is filed under the name uncultured bacterium. RNAcentral's name for it is "partial 16S ribosomal RNA". It matches the Rfam family "Bacterial small subunit ribosomal RNA", at positions 28 to 523 of the family's 1533-position model. The record is from RNAcentral.
GAUGAACGCUGGCGGCGUGCCUAAUACAUGCAAGUCGAGCGAAUGGAUUGAAAGCUUGCUCUUAUGAAGUUAGCGGCGGACGUGUGAGUAACACGUGGGUAACCUGCCCAUAAGACUGGGAUAACUCCGGGAAACCGGGGCUAAUACCGGAUAACAUUUUGAACCGCAUGGUUCGAAAUUGAAAGGCGGCUUCGGCUGUCACUUAUGGAUGGACCUGCGUCGCAUUAGCUAGUUGGGGAGGUAACGGCUCACCAAGGCAACGAUGCGUAGCCGACCUGAGAGGGUGAUCGGCCACACUGGGACUGAGACACGGCCCAGACUCCUACGGGAGGCAGCAGUAGGGAAUCUUCCGCAAUGGACGAAAGUCUGACGGAGCAACGCCGCGUGAGUGAUGAAGGCUUUCGGGUCGUAAAACUCUGUUGUUAGGGAAGAACAAGUGCUAGUUGAAUAAGCUGGCACCUUGACGGUACCUAACCAGAAAGCCACGGCUAACUACGUGCCAGCCGCCGCCGUAA